RNAcentral lists this ribosomal RNA (835 nucleotides) under Escherichia coli. RNAcentral describes it as "partial 23S ribosomal RNA". It matches the Rfam family "Bacterial large subunit ribosomal RNA", at positions 419 to 1254 of the family's 2925-position model. The record is from RNAcentral. Lineage: Bacteria; Pseudomonadati; Pseudomonadota; Gammaproteobacteria; Enterobacterales; Enterobacteriaceae.
GGGACACGUGGUAUCCUGUCUGAAUAUGGGGGGACCAUCCUCCAAGGCUAAAUACUCCUGACUGACCGAUAGUGAACCAGUACCGUGAGGGAAAGGCGAAAAGAACCCCGGCGAGGGGAGUGAAAAAGAACCUGAAACCGUGUACGUACAAGCAGUGGGAGCACGCUUAGGCGUGUGACUGCGUACCUUUUGUAUAAUGGGUCAGCGACUUAUAUUCUGUAGCAAGGUUAACCGAAUAGGGGAGCCGAAGGGAAACCGAGUCUUAACUGGGCGUUAAGUUGCAGGGUAUAGACCCGAAACCCGGUGAUCUAGCCAUGGGCAGGUUGAAGGUUGGGUAACACUAACUGGAGGACCGAACCGACUAAUGUUGAAAAAUUAGCGGAUGACUUGUGGCUGGGGGUGAAAGGCCAAUCAAACCGGGAGAUAGCUGGUUCUCCCCGAAAGCUAUUUAGGUAGCGCCUCGUGAAUUCAUCUCCGGGGGUAGAGCACUGUUUCGGCAAGGGGGUCAUCCCGACUUACCAACCCGAUGCAAACUGCGAAUACCGGAGAAUGUUAUCACGGGAGACACACGGCGGGUGCUAACGUCCGUCGUGAAGAGGGAAACAACCCAGACCGCCAGCUAAGGUCCCAAAGUCAUGGUUAAGUGGGAAACGAUGUGGGAAGGCCCAGACAGCCAGGAUGUUGGCUUAGAAGCAGCCAUCAUUUAAAGAAAGCGUAAUAGCUCACUGGUCGAGUCGGCCUGCGCGGAAGAUGUAACGGGGCUAAACCAUGCACCGAAGCUGCGGCAGCGACACUAUGUGUUGUUGGGUAGGGGAGCGUUCUGUAAGCCUGUGAA